AUACGGAGGAUCCGAGCGUUAUCCGGAUUUAUUGGGUUUAAAGGGUGCGCAGGCGGCCAUUUAAGUCAGCGGUUAAAUCGUGGGGCUCAACCCCAUUCUGCCGUUGAUACUGGGUGGCUUGAUUGCGGUCGAGGUUGGCGGAAUUCGUUGUGUAGCGGUGAAAUGCAUAGAUAUGACGAAGAACACCGAUUGCGUAGGCAGCUGACCAGAUCGCAAAUGACGCUCAUGCACGAAAGUGCGGGGAUCGAACAGGAUUAGAUACCCUGGUAGUCCGCACAGUAAACGAUGAAUACUUGUUUUCGGCGAUAUAAUGUCGGAGGCAAAGCGAAAGCGAUAAGUAUUCCACCUGGGGAGUACGCCGGCAACGGUGAAACUCAAAGGAAUGGACGGGG
Molecule: ribosomal RNA, 392 nt
Filed under: uncultured bacterium
Lineage: Bacteria
Description: partial 16S ribosomal RNA
Rfam family: Bacterial small subunit ribosomal RNA
Source: RNAcentral